CAAAAAGGCACAAGUCAAACAAUUAUGUUUAUUUAGAACACUAUAUAUUUAGACUUCAUAGCAAUACCAUUUAGCAAGUAAUUAGAUCAAAUAUAAAUUUUCAAAAGAUACUUUGCUAGUAUUGAAAACUAUACACAAUUGACUUAGCUUUUUUUCUCAAGGACCAAAGAUUUACAUAAUAAUUAUAACUAUAUUUGUCGGUAUCCAUAUGGUAGGUAUUUUUAUUAUUUUUCGUACCUAACCUGAAAAAUAUG
This is a non-coding RNA of Cinara cedri, 254 nucleotides long. The record is from the annotation of a GenBank genome assembly. Lineage: Eukaryota; Metazoa; Arthropoda; Insecta; Hemiptera; Aphididae.